UAUGUAAUCUCCAUGUCCUUCCUUCAA
This 27-nucleotide non-coding RNA is filed under the name Bombyx mori (domestic silkworm). The record is from RNAcentral. Lineage: Eukaryota; Metazoa; Arthropoda; Insecta; Lepidoptera; Bombycidae.